CCAUCUGUCUCCCAGACCCCUGAGUUCAAACUCCCUCAGCAUGGAGUGGGCAUGCAGGCUCCUUUUCCUGCUGGUCGCUGCCCCAGGAGUCCACUCACAAGUCCAGCUGGUGCAGUCUGGACCAGAGCUGAAGAGACCUGGAGAGUCAGUGAAGGUCUCCUGCAAAGGCUCCGGGUACACCUUCACUGACUAUGCUAUACACUGGGUGAAACAGUUGCCAGGGAAAGGCCUACAGUGGAUGGGCUGGAUAAACACCAAUACUGCAAAGCCAACACACGCUGAGGGCUUCACAGGACGAUUUGUCUUCUCCCUGGACGCCUCUGUCAGCUCAGCCUAUCUGCAGAUCAACACCCUCCAGACUGAAGACACAGCCAUGUAUUACUGUGCAAGGCACAGUGAGCAGACCACAUCCUGA
This is a non-coding RNA of Octodon degus (degu), 415 nucleotides long. The record is from the annotation of a RefSeq genome assembly. Lineage: Eukaryota; Metazoa; Chordata; Mammalia; Rodentia; Octodontidae.